UACGUAGGGUCCAAGCGUUGUCCGGAUUUAUUGGGCGUAAAGAGCUCGUAGGCGGUUUGUUGCGUCGGCUGUGAAAUCCCGAGGCUCAACCUCGGGUCUGCAGUCGAUACGAGCAAACUAGAGUGUUGCAGGGGAGACUGGAAUUCCUGGUGUAGCGGUGAAAUGCGCAGAUAUCAGGAGGAACACCGGUGGCGAAGGCGGGUCUCUGGGCAACAACUGACGCUGAGGAGCGAAAGCGUGGGGAGCGAACAGG
This 253-nucleotide ribosomal RNA is filed under the name uncultured bacterium. RNAcentral's name for it is "partial 16S ribosomal RNA". It matches the Rfam family "Bacterial small subunit ribosomal RNA", at positions 524 to 776 of the family's 1533-position model. The record is from RNAcentral.